This 576-nucleotide small RNA is filed under the name Arabidopsis thaliana (thale cress). Its description in RNAcentral is "ATSL224460". The record is from RNAcentral. Lineage: Eukaryota; Viridiplantae; Streptophyta; Magnoliopsida; Brassicales; Brassicaceae.
UAAAAAAGAAAUUUACUUUUUCUUAUGAAAAAAAACUCUUCUCCUAUGGUGAUUAGGAAAUCGGUUUGGCUAUAUAAGGAGGAGCUAGGAUGUUUUGGAGAGGUAAAAGAGUUGAAGCAUAAAGAAGAAAUCUUUGAGAGCUUUCUGUGAGAUUGUGUGCAACUUAGUUUUGUGGGUUUUAUACUUGUGUGAUCAAGUGGUUUUGUUUUAAAGUCUAGGCUCAUGCGAGUUUAGCUCAGGGUUAGGUUAUCCUGAUUAAAUAUAGACUCAGAGAGAGUUUAGUUAAGGGUAGAGGUUAUCCUUAGGGUUUCACGUUAAUAGAAGGGAGCGGUAAAUCAAAAGGGUUGUGCUUGUUUUACGCGUUUGUGAAUUGGUUGUAAUUUGCUUUCUUAUUCUGGUGAAAUCGAAUCUAGACUUGAUCCCGGGGAGUAGAAAAAACUGAACCUCGUUAACAAAUUUCUUGUCUCGUUUUACUUUGUAAAAUGUAUCUUAUUUAUAGAGAAUGAAUCUUCGUGCGCUUAGCACCUAAGUUUUCUUUGAACACUGAUUUUAAAUUUGUAAUCAGUUUUGUAUAUU